GGUCGAAUAGUAUAGUUGGUUACCACGUCAGUCUGGUAUAACACACUGAAGAUCCCAAGUUCAAGUCUGGGUUCGAUCA
Rhypophila decipiens is the source of this 79-nucleotide non-coding RNA. NCBI's taxonomy places the organism in Eukaryota, Fungi, Ascomycota, Sordariomycetes, Sordariales, Naviculisporaceae. The record is from the annotation of a GenBank genome assembly.